Molecule: transfer RNA, 64 nt
Filed under: Phytomastax pentaspinula
Lineage: Eukaryota; Metazoa; Arthropoda; Insecta; Orthoptera; Eumastacidae
Description: tRNA-Phe
Source: RNAcentral
AUUUUAAUAGCUUAUUAAGAGCUUUACAUUGAAGAUGUAGUGGUGGUAUAUUUACCUUAAAAUA